Molecule: ribosomal RNA, 62 nt
Filed under: Melampodium gracile
Lineage: Eukaryota; Viridiplantae; Streptophyta; Magnoliopsida; Asterales; Asteraceae
Description: partial 26S ribosomal RNA
Source: RNAcentral
UCGCGACCCCAGGUCAGGCGGGACUACCCGCUGAGUUUAAGUAUAUCAAUAAGCGGAGGAGA